RNAcentral lists this transfer RNA (80 nucleotides) under Paragonimus westermani. RNAcentral's name for it is "tRNA-Tyr". The record is from RNAcentral. Lineage: Eukaryota; Metazoa; Platyhelminthes; Trematoda; Plagiorchiida; Troglotrematidae.
GGCUUCGUAGCCCAGCUGAUAGGGCAUUCACCGCCUGUAAGGUGUUAUUUCUAUCGGUGAUUCGAAUCCAGUCGAAGCCC